UUGUUUGUGCCGGUUGAUUCUGUUCUGUGUACACGCGACGGGCAGAAGAUAAAGGUUUGCGACGACUGAUGGACGAUAGCGAGCAGCGAAACGGUCGGUGGCAAUAAAUGGACAAGCCAACCGAGAAGAAAGAAGAAGAAGAAGAGUUGACCUGCAUUCUUUGAGGUUGACGGGCUGGCCGAGCCCGUCGUCCGCUCCAUGAACGGCGGACAAGUUGGACGACGACAUCGUCGUUUUCUUUUGGCAGCGUUUCGAGUCCAUCAGAGCUAUAAGUAAGUCAUCCGCCACCACCGUUUCUUUCGUCCGAAUACUUUCAACAGUUGACUUUUUUUUUCAAAAUUUCUUUCAAUCAUUUCCCAAAGAAAAGAAUUUAAAUUCCUUUGUGUCGAAACUUAUUUCCCGGGAAAAAUUUUCUUAUGGAGGAGGUUCCAUCACACCUUCCUUCUCAAAGGGGGUUUGGUUUCAGUUUUUUUUUUUAAAUUAUGAUUAAACGUUACGUCAUGACUAAGGAGCUUAUAAUGUUGUUGGGAUGUCAGCAGUUGCUGCUGUUGUUGAGCUCCCGCCUGUUUUUUUUGUUUUUUGUAUUUUUUUUUUCUUAUUAUUAUUAUUAUUAUUAUUUAUUAUUUAAAAAAUAUGACUUCACGUUUGAGGGGAAAAUUCAAAUUGAAAAUUACGCGCGCCUCCAAGUUCGUUGGCAUCGCAGCAUUCCGGCGCCGCUUCUUCUUUUGUUCUGUCUGUGGUUGUCAGGUUGGGAAAUACACUGCCGUCAGUUGGUGGACGACGCCGAAACAUGUCGGCCCGCCCGCUUUGAAAGGAAUAACCAGAAACUACGGGGGUAUAUAUAUAUAUAUCUUUCUUGCCCUGCCGCAGCCUUGGUUCUCUUGCCCUGUGAAACAUCCCAACAAUUCCGAUGAAUUUCGAAUGCUGGAGAGCGGGGCCAAGCUUCCAUUUCGACGUGAAAUGGACAGGCAGGAGCCGGGGCCAGCAGCAGGCGCACGGUAAUGAAACGGGAGGCAAAACUGCUGGCAAAGUGAUUACGCCAUCAGGACAGAACAGCCCGGACCCGCAAGGCGCCAAAAAUCUCUCCACUCUGUACACGCCCAAUAACAACAAAAAGGAAAAAAUAAAUAAAAAUAAAAAUAAAAUGAAUAAAACAAAACAAAAUAAAAGGAAAGCCGAAAGAUAAAUUUUAAAAAAUGGAGUUAAGAUUUUUUUUCACGUUGCCAUACGGCGGGAGCCAAGUGAAAUUACAUAAAACAUCAACAAUAACAAGGCGAACGCGCGUGGUCCACAUUGUUACGAAUGGGCAACAUCAACAACGCAACAAUCCUCGUAAUGAGUUGCGACUCGUCAAGCCACGCCCUCUGACCCCGAACGGCGUCGGUU
This is a long non-coding RNA of Daphnia pulicaria, 1386 nucleotides long. RefSeq lists it as uncharacterized. NCBI's taxonomy places the organism in Eukaryota, Metazoa, Arthropoda, Branchiopoda, Diplostraca, Daphniidae. The record is from RefSeq and is a predicted model, not a curated record. The transcript has 2 exons.